CGCUGGCGGCGUGCCUAAUACAUGCAAGUCGAACGCACAGCGAAAGGUGCUUGCACCUUUCAAGUGAGUGGCGAACGGGUGAGUAACACGUGGACAACCUGCCUCAAGGCUGGGGAUAACAUUUGGAAACAGAUGCUAAUACCGAAUAAAACUUAGUGUCGCAUGACACAAAGUUAAAAGGCGCUUCGGCGUCACCUAGAGAUGGAUCCGCGGUGCAUUAGUUAGUUGGUGGGGUAAAGGCCUACCAAGACAAUGAUGCAUAGCCGAGUUGAGAGACUGAUCGGCCACAUUGGGACUGAGACACGGCCCAAACUCCUACGGGAGGCUGCAGUAGGGAAUCUUCCACAAUGGGCGAAAGCCUGAUGGAGCAACGCCGCGUGUGUGAUGAAGGCUUUCGGGUCGUAAAGCACUGUUGUAUGGGAAGAACAGCUAGAAUAGGAAAUGAUUUUAGUUUGACGGUACCAUACCAGAAAGGGACGGCUAAAUACGUGCCAGCAGCCGCGGUAAUACGUAUGUCCCGAGCGUUAUCCGGAUUUAUUGGGCGUAAAGCGAGCGCAGACGGUUUAUUAAGUCUGAUGUGAAAGCCCGGAGCUCAACUCCGGGAAUGGCAUUGGAAACUGGUUAACUUGAGUGCAGUAGAGGUAAGUGGAACUCCAUGUGUAGCGGUGGAAUGCGUAGAUAUAUGGAAGAACACCAGUGGCGAAGGCGGCUUACUGGACUGCAACUGACGUUGAGGCUCGAAAGUGUGGGUAGCAAACAGGAUUAGAUACCCUGGUAGUCCACACCGUAAACGAUGAACACUAGGUGUUAGGAGGUUUCCGCCUCUUAGUGCCGAAGCUAACGCAUUAAGUGUUCCGCCUGGGGAGUACGACCGCAAGGUUGAAACUCAAAGGAAUUGACGGGGACCCGCACAAGCGGUGGAGCAUGUGGUUUAAUUCGAAGCAACGCGAAGAACCUUACCAGGUCUUGACAUCCUUUGAAGCUUUUAGAGAUAGAAGUGUUCUCUUCGGAGACAAAGUGACAGGUGGUGCAUGGUCGUCGUCAGCUCGUGUCGUGAGAUGUUGGGUUAAGUCCCGCAACGAGCGCAACCCUUAUUGUUAGUUGCCAGCAUUCAGAUGGGCACUCUAGCGAGACUGCCGGUGACAAACCGGAGGAAGGCGGGGACGACGUCAGAUCAUCAUGCCCCUUAUGACCUGGGCUACACACGUGCUACAAUGGCGUAUACAACGAGUUGCCAACCCGCGAGGGUGAGCUAAUCUCUUAAAGUACGUCUCAGUUCGGAUUGUAGUCUGCAACUCGACUACAUGAAGUCGGAAUCGCUAGUAAUCGCGGAUCAGCACGCCGCGGUGAAUACGUUCCCGGGUCUUGUACACACCGCCCGUCACACCAUGGGAGUUUGUAAUGCCCAAAGCCGGUGGCCUAACCUUUUAGGAAGGAGCCGUCUAAGGCAGGACAGAUGACUGGGGUG
RNAcentral lists this ribosomal RNA (1468 nucleotides) under Leuconostoc mesenteroides subsp. mesenteroides. RNAcentral's name for it is "bacterial SSU rRNA". It matches the Rfam family "Bacterial small subunit ribosomal RNA". The record is from RNAcentral. Lineage: Bacteria; Bacillati; Bacillota; Bacilli; Lactobacillales; Lactobacillaceae.